GAUGAACGCUGGCGGCGUGCCUAAUACAUGCCAGUCGAGCGAACAGACGAGGAGCUUGCUCCUCUGACGUUAGCGGCGGACGGGUGAGUAACACGUGGAUAACCUACCUAUAAGACUGGGAUAACUUCGGGAAACCGGAGCUAAUACCGGAUAAUAUAUUGAACCGCAUGGUUCAAUAGUGAAAGACGGUUUUGCUGUCACUUAUAGAUGGAUCCGCGCCGCAUUAGCUAGUUGGUAAGGUAACGGCUUACCAAGGCAACGAUGCGUAGCCGACCUGAGAGGGGGAUCGGCCACACUGGAACUGAGACACGGUCCAGACUCCUCGGGAGGCAGCAGUAGGGAAUCUUCCGCAAUGGGCGAAAGCCUGACGGAGCAACGCCGCGUGAGUGAUGAAGGUCUUCGGAUCGUAAAACUCUGUUAUUAGGGAAGAACAAAUGUGUAAGUAACUAUGCACGUCUUGACGGUACCUAAUCAGAAAGCCACGGCUAACUACGUG
This 496-nucleotide ribosomal RNA is filed under the name uncultured bacterium. RNAcentral describes it as "partial 16S ribosomal RNA". It matches the Rfam family "Bacterial small subunit ribosomal RNA", at positions 28 to 507 of the family's 1533-position model. The record is from RNAcentral.